GUGCUUGUAUCAAUAAUGACUGCACGUGCUUGCUUUUAUUUCGUGUCUCUUUGCAUUCACGCGCCUCCUGAGAUUCUCACUUUCUUCGUUUCAGAAACAUACACGCCCUAGCUAGCAGCCCCGCUCUCCUGCACUGUCCGUACCCAUUUGACGUGCCGCGCGCUCCGUUCAAUCUUUCGUCUUUUGGCUGAGCUCCAAAGAGGUCUUGAAGACACCCUUCGUCGCAGAAGCAACUUUCGUGGCUGAGCUCCGAAGGUGUGCCCUUGCUGCUUUGCUUUUCGGCCUCAGAGAUAGAGAUUGUUCGUUUUGGACUAAUCAUUUCAUUAUUAAUCAUUAAAUCCCUCCCUUUAAGAAGUUCUGGCUCUUCUUCUUCUGGUAGAAAGCGUACUAGUACGAGGAAAGUUGAAAAAGGACAAUUAGAAUCCCAAAACCUGAACUUUCUUUUUCUUCCCUUCACUCACGCCUCAAGAAAGCGUAAACCUGUCCCCUUAAUUUCAGGUUCAAACAUAGGGUUAUGUAAUUUUAUUUUUGUACAACAUUCUUUAGCUUCCCCUUUUUUUUGUUCUUAAAUUAUAAGAAACUUAGAUGAUUUUAGCGUCUAGGUCUUGAAGACAACCUUUCAUAUGCGAACAAGGGUUUGAUCUCUCUCUCUCUCUCUCUUUUACUUUAUUUAUUUUUGUUUAAUUUUUGUGUAAUUUUACGAGGUUGAAUUUGUUUAGGGUUUGACAUGAUUUUAGGUUUGUGUUUGAUUAGCUCAGUUUUUGUGUGCUUGGAUAGCCUAAAUAUAUCUUGUAUUCUGCGAAGAAGAAGCUGAGAGAGGCUAAAGAUGGUAUGAGCAUAUUUUGAUUCUUUACGUAAAUGCAUAUUUUUCUUGUAUUAUGCAAUGACCAAUAUAUAUCAGGCAUCUGUGUGUGAUUACCCUUAUAACGAAUCUACAUUUCAUUUAACUGUGUCAAAUUGCUUUUCCAGUUGACAGGUCUCACUGGUUUAAUAAAAAAUACAUCAAUUAAUCAAUGAAAAUUUCUUUUUCUAUUUUACCGAAUGUCAUGCUUGAUUAACUAUAGUUUUAGACCUCCAUUGAAAGAAAAGGUGUUUCAUUUCUUCCUAGCCCUUUUGUGAAUCAUAGAGUUGAAGAUUCGAAAAGAUUUUUGAGUAAUGGUUUGAGAUGAUCAUGCUCUGUGAUUCCUCAGCCUACCCUCUUAUGGAAUUAUGAUUUUUCUUGAAUUUUAUGUCCUAGAUCAAGAUAUCGUCAAUAUCCUCCCUUGCAAGUCCUUUUUUAUUUCGUGUGCAAAAUUCCCCUUCAUUAGUUCCUUUUUUUUCCUUAUGCUUUUCCUUUUCUAAGUGACAGAAUAUGUUGAUUUAUAUAUGUCUACAUUUCUACGCAACAGAUUAUUUACAACUUUGUUUCUUCCUUAUAUUUUUUUUCCUUAUGCUUUUCCUUUUUGGGUUUGUGUCUUUUACCCCAUUUCAAGUUUUAUUUUGACUUGCUGUGUUUCUUAGAAUGUACUCAUUUUAGGGAAAAUAUCCAUGCCCUUGUUCAUUUUAUUUCUCUCUAUCUCUAUCCUUUCAUUAUUUUAUUUUUUUGUUGGUUUUGGUUUUGUUGAACAUGUCCCCAACCACUUUUUCUUUAAAAAAGUUUUGAGUUCGGAUUUUUUUUUUGUCAAACAGGAUUUGAAAAGGUAGCUUUGGAUGAAGUAGUGAGUACAUUUUGUUUUUUACCUACUUUAAGAGCUUGCAUGAUUUUGGUUGGGGCAUUGGUAGAGUUUGCGUGUAAAGCCAUUUAAUGCCAUAGUUUGAAAAGGUAGCUUUGGAUGAAGUAGUGAGCAUUUUUUUUUUGUUUUUUUACCCGCUUAAGGAGUUGGUUUGGGUGAUUAUAAACUUGCAUAACUUUGAAUGGGGUAUUGGUAGAGUUUAUGCGUGUAAAGCCAUUUAAUGCCAUAGCUAAAGAGUAAUUAACCAUUUCAGUGUGAUGUCUCUGUUUUUCAAUCAUCACAAUCUCAUUCCAAUGGAUGUUCCCAGAAAUGUCUCUUCCCCUGCCUUAGUGGGAGACAAUGAUUCAACCACCAUGACUUUGCCAAUUGACUCAGGUCAAUACAAACCUUAAUUUCUAAUCUUCAUUUCUAUGAGAUUUUGAAUUUUCCAAUGCUUUUUCAAUCAUUUCAGGUGCAAGACCAAAAAUAACUUGGAGUAUUUUAAUUUUGAAUUUUCCGAAAUUUCUUUAGCAGUCAAGUAUUUUAAUUUUGAAGUGAAACUUUUCUCUUCUUUAAAUGACCAAAAAUAACUUGUGGAGAGGGUUAGAUAUGACUGAAACAGUCAGUGAGGACUGAGUUCUUGUUUCCUCUGUUAUUAUCAAUGGGCGUUAUUUUUCAAUGGGGAGGAAAACUGAUGGGGUUUGGUUGUGAAGGAAGGACUUUCUGUUCUAGAUGUAGUUCAAUAUAGUUGCUUUUUUGGAAAAAUGGUUUUACACGUGAAUGAAACUCAUUCAGUUUUGCAAUAAUGUUUUUCUAUUUUGGACCUUAGGUAUUGUUCACCAAUUAAGCUCAAAGGCAAUCCUUGCUUUUAUUUUUCAAUAUAUGUUUGUGUCUACUUCAGUAUAUUUCGUGGAGCAUUUUUACAUCCGAAUAUAGUCUCGAUUUAUGAUUUUAUCUUUCUUUGGGAUGAGGAUCUAGGGGUGGAGCAUUUUUCACCAUCAAGGUAUGAAGGGAUGCUUCUUUGCUUUUCUGUUAUUCUUGUUAUUUUGAUAUGUAUGUGCAAUCUACCUUGGAUGUGAAUGAUUAUCAUUUUAUGGGCUAGCAGGAACCUACUGGUAUAAAUGUUAUGAAAAAAGAAUCCAAUUUUAUUUGAUUACCUGAUUAUAUAUUAGUUUUCCCCUUUUAUGAUUUGAUAGCUGAAUGAAAACUGACUCUGAAUUUUCUGCAACACACUAUAAGAUGUAUAUUAUCCUUAUUAGGUUUGUUAACCUUACAUUUGGUUGCUAAGAAAUCUUGGCUUUUCUAGGGUGGUAUCUUAAAAAAGAGGUUAUUUGUUGGGGUUUUUAAAUGAGGUUUACCUUCGUCUAGCUGCUCAUAAGAAAACUUGUUUUGAUUUACUUGCAUUUUAUUUUUGGGGGCAUCCUGAUGAAGUUUAACCUUGUUUGUUAUGAAAUUUUCAGAAUUCAAAUUGUCAUUUUUGUCAUAGAUUAAAAAUAGAUGAAAAUAAUCCUCUAUGUUGGUGCUCAAUAUUGGCUCAUCACUAUCAUUUGUAUCUUAUCCAGAAUGACCUUGUCCAUGGAUGGGGACUAGAUAUGAAACUAGGAUAUUGUGCACAGGUGAGAAAUAUGCAUUUUCUAGACACUUUUGGUGGUUGUAAUUUUUUUUAUUUUUUAAUUUUCUUUUUCAAUGAUGAUACUUCCUGUAAGAUUCUUAUUACCUUGCAACUCUAUUUUUCAUUCUUGGAAGUGAUUGAUAUAGCCAAUCGUGCUUAUAGUUCCUCCAGCAAGAAAUAAAGGUUAUGAAAUAUUUGCACAUUCUCGUGUGAAAUCAUUAGCAUGUAAAUUUUAAAUGCAUCAUGUGGAUAUAUUAAAUUUAUAUUUAAUCAAUCAAUCAUUUGUAUACUAGGACUUAGGUUGCUCUGCCUUGACUUUUUUAGCCACCAUUAUAUCAUUAGUGAGAAUAAUGUCAUUUUUUCCGGGACAUCGAACUAAAAAAGUGGGAGUUGUUGAUGGCGAAUAUUUUUUCAUGGGAAUACAAACUUUGGGUGGGAGUGGUCACAGAAUUACAAAGGAACAUGCUCUUGCUGUUGAACAUCUGGCACCAAGCUAGGCAGCUCUUAGAAUGGAGCUGUGCCCCGGAUACAUGAGUGAUGGUAACUUUUGGAAGAUAUACUUUGUACUCGUGCACCCUAGACUUAGCAAAAUUGAUGCUGCUAUUUUAUCCACUCCACAAGUGAGUUAAAUUUUAAUCGGCAUUGGUUUUCUUUCAUAUAUGCACUUGUGUUGUUUUUGUCUAAUUUAUUUUGGUUUGUUUGUUUGUUUGUUUUAACUUUAAUCAUGUGAAACUAAUGAUUGAAGUAGAGACAAUUAAGGUUUUUCAUUGUUCACGGAUUAAACCUGGCAUUGAAAUCUUGUAAAGUGAUCUUAAUACAAUCAUGUGUAACUCUGCUUUGAAUCGUAAUGAAAGUUCAUUGAACACA
Glycine soja is the source of this 4170-nucleotide long non-coding RNA. RefSeq lists it as uncharacterized. The transcript is spliced from 4 exons. The record is from RefSeq and is a predicted model, not a curated record. NCBI's taxonomy places the organism in Eukaryota, Viridiplantae, Streptophyta, Magnoliopsida, Fabales, Fabaceae.